Long non-coding RNA from Meriones unguiculatus (Mongolian gerbil), 3327 nucleotides. RefSeq lists it as uncharacterized. The record is from RefSeq and is a predicted model, not a curated record. The transcript has 2 exons. Lineage: Eukaryota; Metazoa; Chordata; Mammalia; Rodentia; Muridae.
AGAAGAAGAAGAGGAGGAGGAGGAAGAAGAGGAAGAAGAAGAAAAUUAAGAAACAUUCAACCAGAAAAGUUCUUCAACUGCUUCAGUUUCAGCUCAGAAACAAUAAGAACAUGAUAAACCAAGAACAUGACUCUUCCAAAAAUUACUAAUCCCAGAAAAAAAUGACCCAUAAUGAAAAUGACCAGAAAAAAACCCAGACAAGUAAUUCAACACAAUUAUCACAACUAUGUUUAGCACCUCAAAUAAGAUGUAACUAUAGGGCUAGAGAGAAGGCUCAGAGGUUAAGAACACUGGCUGUUCUUCAAAAGGUCCUGAGUUCAAUUCCCAGCAACCACGUGGUCACUCAUAACUAUCUAUAAUGAGAGCUGGUGCCCUCUUCCAGCCUGCAGGUACAUAUGCAGGCAGAAUACUGUAUAAAUAAUAAAUAAAUAAACCUUUUUUUGAAUGUGAAUUUGCUCCAAGAGAACAAAACCAGAGAGAUAAAAUAAGUAAGUUAGUACAGCAAACAAAAACAGAAUUUAAUGAAGAGGUAGAAUUACUGAAGAAAAAACAAGCUGAAAUGAUGCUGAAAAUGAAAUUUUCAAUAGUCCAAAUAAAAAUUUCAGUGAAGCCCAGGCUGGCUUCAAACUCAUGAUCUUCCUGCCUCCACCUCCUUCAGCAAAUCCUACUGGCAUGUGCCACCACAACUGGAUGUUUCACUUGGGUUUUUUGUUACACUCCUAACAAUAGGAGUGGGAUUUCUCUGACUCUUUUGCCUGCUUCUAUGACAUUUUUUCUCCUGCUGGAUUGCCUUAUCCAGCCUCGAUAUAAGUGUUUAUGCCUAGUCUUAUUGUAUCUUGUUAUGCUGUGUUUAAGUUGGUAGCACUAGGAGGCCUGCUCUUUUCUGAAGGGAAAUGGAGAACAGUAGAUCUGGUGAAGAGAGGGGAUGGGGCGCUAAGAGGAUUAGAUGGAGAGGAGGCUCCAAUCAGGAUGUAUUGCAUGAAAUAAUACAUUUCUUAAAUAGAAACAAUUUUAGAAGGAAAAAUAAACCUCAGUGGAAAACCCCAUCAACAGAAUGGAUGAUGCAGAAAGCAAAGUAUCAGAGAUGGAAGACAAAGGAGAAGAAACAAGUCAUUUAAUGAAGGUCAAUAACACUUUGGUUUUGUAUUGUUUUGUUUUGUUUUGUUUUUUGAAACAGGGCUUCUCUGUGUAGCCUUGGCUGUCCUGGACUUGCUCUGUAAACCAGGCUGGCCUUGAAUUCACAGAGAUCCACCUGCCUCUGUCUCCCUGAGCUCUGGGAUUACAGAUGUGGGCCACUGCACCCGCAAAGAUAACAGUUCUUAGAAUAAAUGAAUGGAUUGAUGCUUGAGGGGUUCCACAUCUUUUACCAACUUCAAAGAAAGCUGAGGGCCCAUCGAAGGGCCUGUUUUUGUUUUUGUUUUUUUAACUCUGGGUUAAGACUACAGGUAUGUGGGAAGAUCCACAUUUCCUAGAAGCCCUAACAGUAUCUGAGGAACUAGGGUGGGCCAGAUCUGACUCUUGGUACACAGGCAUGCAAAGAGUUCCUUAACUCACAGCAAAAGCUACUUACCCAGUCAGAAAACACACAGGACAAUACUUGAACCUCACAAAAACAAUAGAGAUAAAUCUUCCAGCCCUAACAACCAGUCCCACUGAGGAAGAGUGUAGAGAAAAUAUCUUGUGUAUUGUUUGAAUGCAUUGCCUGUCAAUUAAAAAGGCUAUGACCCAUAAGAAAAGGUAGAAUAGCAGGUGGGACAUCCAACAGGCAGAAAGGAUUCUGUGGUAGAGGUAGGUGCAAGAGAUUCAUCUGAGAAGAUGUGAGGACAGAUACACGAUACCUUAUAGGAGCUAGUUUUUUAAACUCUAAUUUAUUUGGGGGUUCCUAAAGCCUCUACCUCCCUUCCAACCCCCCAACCCUAAGUAGGAGAGAAAAAAGGUUAGAAGGGAAAGGGUACAUAGACCGCUUCACUUCUUCUGGCUGGGCAGGGUUGUCACAUUCUUUUGGGGGUAAUACCAAUCUCAGUCACCAGAAUAUCCAGCAAUCCAGGUAACCAGGAAACCAGCAAAUGCAGCAAGAAGUCUUCUUUCUUCAAAGCCUCCUCUCCCGUCUCCUCAAAGCUGCCGCCCGGUCUCCCUCUGGGUUCUCGUGUUUAUACCCCUCAGAGUCCUCAGACUUCAACUAACUCCAGCUGGCAAAGACCACGCCCCUGCAUGAGGCAGUUAUCAGCUGUGGACAAACUAAAGGACAAACUAAAAUCCCACACUUGAGAUUAAAACAAAAACUUGUUUAAAUAACAUAACUGAGUUUUUAAAGAAACCAAAACUUCAAUUACAGUACCUGAGCAGAGGUAACCAGCCCACGGCAGAAUGUAGAUUAGGUAUAAAUUGAUUAUUUUAAGUUACAGUCUAGUCAAAGAGCCUAGCUAUUUUAUAUGGCCUGAGUAUUUGUAAAUAUAUUUUGAGUCUCCUGAGUCAUUAUUCUGGGAGCUUGGGGCCUAGAGAAAAAAUAGACAUCCUACUACAGAUGGUACACUGAAUGUGGGGCCUGAAUCUAAUCUUACAUUCUGGGAAGUCCUGGGUGAAAGGUGGUUUCCCAGCCAAAAAGUGGGAAACUGAAGCAGAGCGCAUUUCAGAGGCUCAGCUCCCUUAAGAGAAAACGCAGCCUUGCAGCAAAACCAGCAGAGGGCAACAGGUGGCACAGUAGCUGUGGAUUCUCCCAAGCACAGCAAGGUUUAAAGCACGCUAGAGAGAGCUAAGUAGCCUGUGUGAAAACUGUAACUCAGUUUGGGUCCACACAGGAGAGGCAUGCUGCGGCCUGAAAGUCAGAGUGGCUCCAGCCAGAGUUGAGUAGAAAACGGAGCCAAUGAGCUACAACAGCCUAUGUGAUGAGCUUGCUGACCAAGGCUGAUGACAGUGCGAGAUGCAAACCGAGAAGUCCCAAGUGUCUGAAUGAACAAAAGGACCAAACACCAAUAGAAUGGAGAUGGCCUUGACAAGACUCAACCUGGAGAAUGCUAAGAGGCUGAUAUGUUUGUUCCAGCACGCUGCUUGAUCUAGACUCACACUAAUCCAUUGCUGUUUCAUCAAACCUUGCUUCCAGGACAGCUUCAAAGAAAGCUGCUGAUACCAAUUGGUCCAGUAUUUUAGGCUGUUCCAAACAAAAUUUCAUUUAAGCCUGCAUUUUCACAGCAUUUAGAGACUGGACAACAAAUGUUACAGCUGGAUUUCUUAACCAUUUUCCCAAUUUUUCUUUGACUUCCCAAAAAAUGCCUUCCCCUCCAGAAAAAAAUAAAUAAACUUGAGAACACAAUGCCCAAUUUCCCAAAA